AGCGAACGCUGGCGGCAGGCCUAACACAUGCAAGUCGAACGAACUCUUCGGAGUUAGUGGCGGACGGGUGAGUAACACGUGGGAACGUGCCUUUAGGUUCGGAAUAACUCAGGGAAACUUGUGCUAAUACCGAAUGUGCCCUUCGGGGGAAAGAUUUAUCGCCUUUAGAGCGGCCCGCGUCUGAUUAGCUAGUUGGUGAGGUAAAGGCUCACCAAGGCGACGAUCAGUAGCUGGUCUGAGAGGAUGAUCAGCCACAUUGGGACUGAGACACGGCCCAAACUCCUACGGGAGGCAGCAGUGGGGAAUCUUGCGGAAUGGGCGAAAGCCUGACGCAGCCAUGCCGCGUGAAUGAUGAAGGUCUUAGGAUUGUAAAAUUCUUUCACCGGGGACGAUAAUGACGGUACCCGGAGAAGAAGCCCCGGCUAACUUCGUG
RNAcentral lists this ribosomal RNA (433 nucleotides) under uncultured bacterium. RNAcentral's name for it is "partial 16S ribosomal RNA". It matches the Rfam family "Bacterial small subunit ribosomal RNA", at positions 29 to 507 of the family's 1533-position model. The record is from RNAcentral.